CUCCCCCUUUUGUAUUGUGAAUAAACCAUAUGUUAGCAGAUAGCCAUGCAUGUCUAAGUAUAGCAAUUUAUACCGUGAAACUGCGAAUGGCUCAUUAAAUCAGUUAUCGUUUAUUUGAUAGUACCUUACUACUUGGAUAACCCGUGGUAAUUCUAGAGCUAAUACAUGCUAAAAACCCCGACUUCGGGAGGGGUGUAUUUAUUAGAUAAAAAACCAACGCCCUUCGGGGCUCCUUGGUGAAUCAUAAUAACUUAACGGAUCGCAUGGCCUUGCGCCGGCGACGGUUCAUUCAAAUUUCUGCCCUAUCAACUUUCGAUUGUAGGGUAUUGGCCUACAAUGGUAUCAACGGGUAACGGGGAAUUAGGGUUCGAUUCCGGAGAGGGAGCCUGAGAAACGGCUACCACAUCCAAGGAAGGCAGCAGGCGCGCAAAUUACCCAAUCCCGACACGGGGAGGUAGUGACAAUAAAUACUGAUACAGGGCUCUUUUGGGUCUUGUAAUUGGAAUGAGUACAAUUUAAAUCCCUUAACGAGGAACAAUUGGAGGGCAAGUCUGGUGCCAGCAGCCGCGGUAAUUCCAGCUCCAAUAGCGUAUAUUAAAGUUGUUGCAGUUAAAAAGCUCGUAGUUGAACCUUGGGUCUGGCUGGCCGGUCCGCCUCACCGCGUGCACUGGUCCGGCCGGACCUUUCCUUCUGGAGAACCGCAUGCCCUUCACUGGGUGUGUCGGGGAACCAGGACUUUUACUUUGAAAAAAUUAGAGUGUUCAAAGCAGGCCUUUGCUCGAAUACAUUAGCAUGGAAUAAUAGAAUAGGACGUGCGGUCCUAUUUUGUUGGUUUCUAGGACCGCCGUAAUGAUUAAUAGGGAUAGUCGGGGGCAUCAGUAUUCAAUUGUCAGAGGUGAAAUUCUUAGAUUUAUUGAAGACUAACUACUGCGAAAGCAUUUGCCAAGGAUGUUUUCAUUAAUCAGUGAACGAAAGUUAGGGGAUCGAAGACGAUCAGAUACCGUCGUAGUCUUAACCGUAAACUAUGCCGACUAGGGAUCGGGCGAUGUUAUUCUUUUGACUCGCUCGGCACCUUACGAGAAAUCAAAGUUUUUGGKUCUGGGGGGGAGUAUGGCCGCMAGCUGAACUAGUAGAAUAUGUUACUUUGGACGAAGAGCUCU
This 1160-nucleotide ribosomal RNA is filed under the name Rhytidhysteron tectonae. RNAcentral describes it as "SSU rRNA". Lineage: Eukaryota; Fungi; Ascomycota; Dothideomycetes; Hysteriales; Hysteriaceae. The record is from RNAcentral.